This 746-nucleotide ribosomal RNA is filed under the name Shewanella woodyi. RNAcentral's name for it is "bacterial SSU rRNA". It matches the Rfam family "Bacterial small subunit ribosomal RNA", at positions 382 to 1120 of the family's 1533-position model. Lineage: Bacteria; Pseudomonadati; Pseudomonadota; Gammaproteobacteria; Alteromonadales; Shewanellaceae. The record is from RNAcentral.
CCUGAUGCAGCCAUGCCGCGUGUGUGAAGAAGGCCUUCGGGUUGUAAAGCACUUUCAGCGAGGAGGAAAGGUUGGGUGUUAAUAACCCUUAGCUGUGACGUUACUCGCAGAAGAAGCACCGGCUAACUUCGUGCCAGCAGCCGCGGUAAUACGAGGGGUGCAAGCGUUAAUCGGAAUUACUGGGCGUAAAGCGUACGCAGGCGGUUUGUUAAGCCAGAUGUGAAAGCCCCGGGCUCAACCUGGGAAUUGCAUUUGGAACUGGCAAACUAGAGUCUUGUAGAGGGGGGUAGAAUUUCAGGUGUAGCGGUGAAAUGCGUAGAGAUCUGAAGGAAUACCGGUGGCGAAGGCGGCCCCCUGGACAAAGACUGACGCUCAGGUACGAAAGCGUGGGGAGCAAACAGGAUUAGAUACCCUGGUAGUCCACGCCGUAAACGAUGUCUACUCGGAGUUUGGUAACUUAGUUACUGGGCUCCCAAGCUAACGCAUUAAGUAGACCGCCUGGGGAGUACGGCCGCAAGGUUAAAACUCAAAUGAAUUGACGGGGGCCCGCACAAGCGGUGGAGCAUGUGGUUUAAUUCGAUGCAACGCGAAGAACCUUACCUACUCUUGACAUCCACAGAACUUACCAGAGAUGCAUUGGUGCCUUCGGGAACUGUGAGACAGGUGCUGCAUGGCUGUCGUCAGCUCGUGUUGUGAAAUGUUGGGUUAAGUCCCGCAACGAGCGCAACCCUUAUCCUUAUUUGCCA